Long non-coding RNA from Oreochromis niloticus (Nile tilapia), 1525 nucleotides. RefSeq lists it as uncharacterized. The record is from RefSeq and is a predicted model, not a curated record. The transcript has 5 exons. Lineage: Eukaryota; Metazoa; Chordata; Actinopteri; Cichliformes; Cichlidae.
CUUGGAACAGAUGGACCGACGACGCGACCUGAAGGAGUGAUAGCACAGAGUGGUAUGAAAUCAGAACCGGCAGUGACUUUUUACUGCAGGAAUGUAGAGGUUCCCAGAAAGAAGAAUUAAAAACUGAUGGCUGGUGGGCAGAGAUGCAAGAGGGAAGAAAUGAGCAAAUUGUGUCCUUUUGUAUCAGUCUAUCUGUAAAUCCCUCCAUCCAUCCUUGAGAUCCAGCGGGCUGAGCCAGCCUAUUGAGGCAGAGAGAAAGGCAGGGGAAGACUUUCAAUCAGCAGCACUAUCAAAAUAAAUGCAUGCACUGUCCGUGUGAAGCGCCUCGUCUACUGUGCGCUCGGGUGAUGUUUAAUGAAACAAACAACAACACGCCCACCCGCAAUGGAUACCAUCUUCCUGCGCAGCAGUUGUCCUGAGAUGACUGGUGCCAGACUGGGGCGAGGAAAGAAAGAACAAAAGAAAGAAAGGAGAGAUGCCACCGAGUGCCAAGGGAACAGUCCAGCAUCGGCUCGCCAGAUCAAUAGGCAACAUCAGAGGAGGAAAUAGGAGGCCCAGAGCAGAUGACGCCUGCUGCAUGCCUCCAGAUGAUUAAGAACACACCAAGAGGACGAGGUGGGGGAGGUGCACAACUGAUGGUGCAACACUGCCCCCAUGUGAGAGAAUCCAGAGGCAGUACAGCAGCUCAUCCCAAGCAAUGCUGAGUUUGUCAGAGCACCGUUACAUGCAUCUUUCAAACCUACUGCAGAGAGUCAUUCAAUUUUAUGAGCAAGGGUUUACGUGGCUUUCAGCCUGGAUCCUCUUCGAGCUUAAAUCCCCAUGUCUCCAACCUUUGACACUUCCCCUCCUUGUUUACGGCCAGAAAAACUGUGCCAGUGAUUUUCUUGUCAGUCAGCAAAAUAAAAGCAGUAGAAAUACCAGCAGUGUGUGAGGGCAAGAGUCGGAGAGGACAGACAACACUCACAGGUUAUUAUACAAGGUCUGCAAACAUCUUUUCCACCUUAAGAGUUACCUGUGGAGGAAAGGAUGAGGUGGAUGUUUUUUUUGGAUGGCAGAGACGGGCAGAAAAGUGGCUGUGAAGACUGUUAAUGUUAUUCAGAUCCUCCUGACCUUUCCGGUGGCAUGUUUGCUGGCUUCUUUGAAAAGGGCAACCAUAAAAAAUAAGAGCAAGACUUUUCACACAGGCUGAAUGCAGAAGGCAAAACACCUCUGAAAUGCUGACAGUGUUUGCAACGCAUGUAGACUGAUUUAAACACUGAUACUCACUACUCCAGUUGGAGAGUCAAAGUAAGAGCAAACCACAAAGGGAUGCAAUAUUUUAGCGAUCAGUACCAAGGAUAUGUGACCCAAAUAUCUACAGAAAGGAUGACAAUUACCACAAGAUCUCCAUAACUGAGGCUCUAGAACCUCCCAAAUAAAGGCUCACAGCUCGGUCUACUACGAGAAGCAUGGCCACUUCUAAGACCUGAGUGUGCUCACAGAUGGAGGGGAAGCUCUCCAUCCCUUCAUGCUUUUGGAUGCAAAA